GACGAACGCUGGCGGCGUGCUUAACACAUGCAAGUCGAACGGAAAGGCCCUGCUUUUGUGGGGUGCUCGAGUGGCGAACGGGUGAGUAACACGUGAGUAACCUGCCCUUGACUUUGGGAUAACUUCAGGAAACUGGGGCUAAUACCGGAUAGGAGCUCCUGCUGCAUGGUGGGGGUUGGAAAGUUUCGGCGGUUGGGGAUGGACUCGCGGCUUAUCAGCUUGUUGGUGGGGUAGUGGCUUACCAAGGCUUUGACGGGUAGCCGGCCUGAGAGGGUGACCGGCCACAUUGGGACUGAGAUACGGCCCAGACUCCUAUGGGAGGCAGCAGUGGGGAAUAUUGCACAAUGGGCGGAAGCCUGAUGUAGCAACGCCGCGUGCGGGAUGACGGCCUUCGGGUUGUAAACCGCUUUCGCCUGUGACGAAGCGUGAGUGACGGUAAUGGGUAAAGAAGCACCGGCUAACUACGUG
RNAcentral lists this ribosomal RNA (468 nucleotides) under uncultured bacterium. RNAcentral's name for it is "partial 16S ribosomal RNA". It matches the Rfam family "Bacterial small subunit ribosomal RNA", at positions 28 to 507 of the family's 1533-position model. The record is from RNAcentral.